AAAGAACAGAAGCUGGGUCUGAAUGGGUGCACACCUCAGCAUCUGAACCCCUUGGCAUGGUUUCAUUUAUCUUCUAGGUACCAGAGUGAAAUACCAAGAGUGCUCUUCACAUUGCUGUAUGCAGUCCUGGAAGGAGAGCCACAAUGGCACAUCCAGAGAUGGGGUGCAACAGUGAGAUUGAAAGACAAUAAAAUAGAUGUCUAUGGAUGAAA
Molecule: long non-coding RNA, 212 nt
Organism: Mastomys coucha (southern multimammate mouse)
Lineage: Eukaryota; Metazoa; Chordata; Mammalia; Rodentia; Muridae
Exons: 2
Source: RefSeq, a predicted model, not a curated record